Long non-coding RNA from Rhagoletis pomonella (apple maggot), 578 nucleotides. RefSeq lists it as uncharacterized. The transcript is spliced from 3 exons. NCBI's taxonomy places the organism in Eukaryota, Metazoa, Arthropoda, Insecta, Diptera, Tephritidae. The record is from RefSeq and is a predicted model, not a curated record.
UGUCAAUCGCAGCACAUAUACGAAUUUCCUCAAUGGCACGAGUGGGUACAAUGCGCUUCCUUUGGAGAUAUUCCACCCAACACCUACAUUCAUCCAAGUACGGUAUGUUUACAACUCGCAACCGAGUUCGCCUGAAGGAUGAAUGAAGAAUUCUAGUAUGCAGAAUGGAAAUUCCUCUCGGGAAAAGCCAACCAGUAUUGAAAUUACCCUCGUUUAAGCGGGCCACACAGGUGACAUGGGGUGUUUGCUUAGAAAAUAGAAAAUGCUGAAAGGAGAAAUCUACAAACAGGUGUGAAGAAGUGAAAUAUUUAUAUUGCUCCAACAACUCAUUUCCCGGAACAUCGUGAGUACUUUACCCUUCUAUGACAAAGGUCCAUAAACAUCUCUUGCUGUGAUAUGUAGGAGAGCGCUGCAUGAAUGCAUUCAAAACGGCGUAUGAAUUAUUCAUGUACAAAACGAAUGCAUGAUUUUGGCUUCAAAUUUUUUUUUUAAAUUUGAGCGAAUAGCUGUUCAGAUAUAUGUGUCGACAUAACAAUAUUCGAACAAAGUGAAAAUAAAUUGAAUUGAUAUAAAUGUCA